CCUACGGGUGGCAGCAGUAGGGAAUAUUGGUCAAUGGGCGCUACCCUGAACCAGCCACGCAGCGUGAAGGAUGAAGGUUUUAGGGUUUUUAACUCCUUUUUUUAGAGAAGUUAAUGACGGUAUCUAACCUAUAAUCCCCGGCGAACUCCGUUCCAGCAGCCGCGGGAAUACGGAGGGUGCAAGCGUUAAUCGGAAUCACUGGGCGUAAAGGGCGCUUAGGCGGGAUAACAAGUCAGAUGUGAAAUGCUAUGGCUUAACCAUAGAAAUGCAGUUGAAACUGUUAUUCUAGAGUAUGGGAGAGGUAGGUGGAAUUCUUGGUGUAGGGGUAAAAUCCGUAGAGAUCAAGAGGAAUACUCAUUGCGAAGGCGACCUGCUAGAACAUAACUGACGCUGAUGCGCGAAAGCGUGGGGAGCAAACAGGAUUAGAUACCCGGGUAGUC
This 440-nucleotide ribosomal RNA is filed under the name uncultured bacterium. Its description in RNAcentral is "partial 16S ribosomal RNA". It matches the Rfam family "Bacterial small subunit ribosomal RNA", at positions 338 to 795 of the family's 1533-position model. The record is from RNAcentral.